Molecule: long non-coding RNA, 494 nt
Filed under: Homo sapiens (human)
Lineage: Eukaryota; Metazoa; Chordata; Mammalia; Primates; Hominidae
Description: non-protein coding lnc-PLA2G4C-3:2
Source: RNAcentral
CCUUACGUGCGGAUAGAUGGCGCUGUGAUUCCCGACCACUGGCUGGACCCCAGCGCUGUGUGGGAGGUGAAGUGCGCUGACCUCUCCCUCUCUCCCAUCUACCCUGCUGCGCGGGGCCUGUGGAUAGUGACAAGGGCAUCUCCCUUCGCUUCCCUCGGUUUAUUCGAGUCCGUGAAGACAAGCAGCCGGAGCAGGCCACCACCAGUGCUCAGUGGCCUGUUUGUACCGGAAGCAAAGUCAGAUUCAGAACCAACAAGGCGAGGACUCAGGCUCUGACCCUGAAGAUACCUACUAAGCCCUCGCCCUCCUAGGGCCUGGGUACAGGGCAUGAGUUGGACGGACCCCAGGGUUAUUAUUGCCUUUGCUUUUUAGCAAAUCUGCUGUGGCAGGCUGUGGAUUUUGAGAGUCAGGGGAGGGGUGUGUGUGUGAGGGGGUGGCUUACUCCGGAGUCUGGGAUUCAUCCCGUCAUUUCUUUCAAUAAAUAAUUAUUGGAU